UAAGUGUCAGAACACUGCCUGAAAAGGCUCUCUUGAAAAUAUAUGGACGUUCCUAGCUUGGAAUCCACUUGCCCCUGGAAUCGGGCACGAAAGACAAGACUUUCUUGAGCAUAGGGUCAUUUUCUCAGAACUCGAGACUUGACCUUCUUGUCGAAUGCUUUUUUCACUCUCUGCUGAUAUGACUGUCCAUGACACAUGGCAGUUGAUCUCUUCUUUUCGAUCGAAUUCAGCAUCAGUCAACUUGGGACUUUGAGGGUGCCAUUUCCUUUUGUUUUUUUUUUGAUUUCUUUUGAUUUUGCUUUCUUUUGAUUUCUUUUGAUUUUGCACCCUCCUCUUUCUUUUUUCUUUUUUUUCUUUUUUUUCUUCUUUUUUUUUUUAAUGCCCCAGUUGGCUGUUCUGCUGAUUCUCGAGAUGCAGCUGAGUGUGAUCCUCUUUCUUGCUCAAGAAGUCGGGAAAUCUCGUCAGGCAUCCCUUCAACAUCAUCUUCGUCCGCUUCGAAUACAGGGAAUUCAAAAUUGGGAGAUGACG
RNAcentral lists this long non-coding RNA (528 nucleotides) under Lathyrus oleraceus (garden pea). Its description in RNAcentral is "Pisum sativum (pea) long non-coding RNA (PSAT_LNC033845)". Lineage: Eukaryota; Viridiplantae; Streptophyta; Magnoliopsida; Fabales; Fabaceae. The record is from RNAcentral.